GCGGCUGUGGUGAAAUUGGUAGACACUGGGGACUUAAAAUCCCUUGCCUUCGGGCGUGCCGGUUCAAGUCCGGCCAGCCGCACCA
Molecule: transfer RNA, 85 nt
Filed under: Tamilnaduibacter salinus
Lineage: Bacteria; Pseudomonadati; Pseudomonadota; Gammaproteobacteria; Pseudomonadales; Marinobacteraceae
Description: tRNA-Leu
Rfam family: tRNA
About the family: Transfer RNA (tRNA) molecules are approximately 80 nucleotides in length.
Source: RNAcentral